UGGGAGAAAAAAGUUAUAAGAGGUUUUCAAAACUUUGGUGUCAAAAAUUGUGGGAAAAAUCCCCAAAAGGGGACGACAACCCUUUCGCCAUUAGUGCCCAAUCAUUCAAGUGGGAGUGUAAAAAGGGACCUCCGGGUUUAUAACCAGAAAAAAGUGGGGAAUCACCGUCAAAGUCCUUCAUGCCCCUUACAGGGUUGGCUACACACGUGGUUACAAUGGCAACUUCCAGAGGGUUAAUCCCUUAAAAGUUGUCUCAGUUUCGGGAUUGUCCUCUGCAACUCGAGGGCA
This 288-nucleotide ribosomal RNA is filed under the name uncultured bacterium. RNAcentral describes it as "partial 16S ribosomal RNA". The record is from RNAcentral.